Molecule: ribosomal RNA, 1175 nt
Filed under: Paenarthrobacter sp.
Lineage: Bacteria; Bacillati; Actinomycetota; Actinomycetes; Micrococcales; Micrococcaceae
Description: bacterial SSU rRNA
Rfam family: Bacterial small subunit ribosomal RNA
Source: RNAcentral
UGCAAGUCGAACGAUGAUCCCAGCUUGCUGGGGGAUUAGUGGCGAACGGGUGAGUAACACGUGAGUAACCUGCCCUUGACUCUGGGAUAAGCCUGGGAAACUGGGUCUAAUACCGGAUAUGACCAUCUGGCGCAUGUCAUGGUGGUGGAAAGCUUUUGUGGUUUUGGAUGGACUCGCGGCCUAUCAGCUUGUUGGUGGGGUAAUGGCCUACCAAGGCGACGACGGGUAGCCGGCCUGAGAGGGUGACCGGCCACACUGGGACUGAGACACGGCCCAGACUCCUACGGGAGGCAGCAGUGGGGAAUAUUGCACAAUGGGCGCAAGCCUGAUGCAGCGACGCCGCGUGAGGGAUGACGGCCUUCGGGUUGUAAACCUCUUUCAGUAGGGAAGAAGCGUAAGUGACGGUACCUGCAGAAGAAGCGCCGGCUAACUACGUGCCAGCAGCCGCGGUAAUACGUAGGGCGCAAGCGUUAUCCGGAAUUAUUGGGCGUAAAGAGCUCGUAGGCGGUUUGUCGCGUCUGCUGUGAAAGACCGGGGCUCAACUCCGGUUCUGCAGUGGGUACGGGCAGACUAGAGUGCAGUAGGGGAGACUGGAAUUCCUGGUGUAGCGGUGAAAUGCGCAGAUAUCAGGAGGAACACCGAUGGCGAAGGCAGGUCUCUGGGCUGUAACUGACGCUGAGGAGCGAAAGCAUGGGGAGCGAACAGGAUUAGAUACCCUGGUAGUCCAUGCCGUAAACGUUGGGCACUAGGUGUGGGGGACAUUCCACGUUUUCCGCGCCGUAGCUAACGCAUUAAGUGCCCCGCCUGGGGAGUACGGCCGCAAGGCUAAAACUCAAAGGAAUUGACGGGGGCCCGCACAAGCGGCGGAGCAUGCGGAUUAAUUCGAUGCAACGCGAAGAACCUUACCAAGGCUUGACAUGAACCGGAAAGACCUGGAAACAGGUGCCCCGCUUGCGGUCGGUUUACAGGUGGUGCAUGGUUGUCGUCAGCUCGUGUCGUGAGAUGUUGGGUUAAGUCCCGCAACGAGCGCAACCCUCGUUCUAUGUUGCCAGCGCGUGAUGGCGGGGACUCAUAGGAGACUGCCGGGGUCACUCGGAGGAAGGUGGGGACGACGUCAAAUCAUCAUGCCCCUUAUGUUUGGGCUUCCGCAUGCUACAUUGGCCGGUACAAAGGUU